This 647-nucleotide ribosomal RNA is filed under the name Colletotrichum falcatum. RNAcentral's name for it is "eukaryotic LSU rRNA". The stretch from base 180 to 333 matches the Rfam family "5.8S ribosomal RNA". Lineage: Eukaryota; Fungi; Ascomycota; Sordariomycetes; Glomerellales; Glomerellaceae. The record is from RNAcentral.
GGGCUUCGAGCUUCGGCUCUUCACCUUUGUGACAUACCCAACUGUUGCUUCGGCGGGUCGGGGCGCCCUCCCGGGGGCGCCCCCCAGGCCCGGCCCCUCCCGGGGCCGAGCGCCCGCCGGAGGAUCACCCAACUCUAUUUUAACGACGUUUCUUCUGAGUGGCACAAGCAAAUAAUUAAAACUUUUAACAACGGAUCUCUUGGUUCUGGCAUCGAUGAAGAACGCAGCGAAAUGCGAUAAGUAAUGUGAAUUGCAGAAUUCAAUGAAUCAUCAAAUCUUUGAACGCACAUUGCGCCCGCCAGCAUUCUGGCGGGCAUGCCUGUUCGAGCGUCAUUUCAACCCUCAAGCCCGGCUUGGUGUUGGGGCACUACGGUCGACGUAGGCCCUUAAAGGUAGUGGCGGACCCUCCCGGAGCCUCCUUUGCGUAGUAACUAACGUCUCGCAUCGGGAUCCGGAGGGACUCCUGCCGUAAAACCCCCACACUUUUUCUGGUUGACCUCGGAUCAGGUAGGAAUACCCGCUGAACUUAAGCAUAUCAAUAAACCGGAGGACCAAACCCUCCUGGCGCCAACAAAGGCCCUCCACCGCGAACCCCAGGUCAGGCGGAAUACCCCCUUAAUUUAAACAUAUUAAUUAACCCGAAGAAA